This 2899-nucleotide ribosomal RNA is filed under the name Escherichia coli. RNAcentral's name for it is "bacterial LSU rRNA". It matches the Rfam family "Bacterial large subunit ribosomal RNA". The record is from RNAcentral. Lineage: Bacteria; Pseudomonadati; Pseudomonadota; Gammaproteobacteria; Enterobacterales; Enterobacteriaceae.
UUAAGCGACUAAGCGUACACGGUGGAUGCCCUGGCAGUCAGAGGCGAUGAAGGACGUGCUAAUCUGCGAUAAGCGUCGGUAAGGUGAUAUGAACCGUUAUAACCGGCGAUUUCCGAAUGGGGAAACCCAGUGUGAUUUGUCACACUAUCAUUAACUGAAUCCAUAGGUUAAUGAGGCGAACCGGGGGAACUGAAACAUCUAAGUACCCCGAGGAAAAGAAAUCAACCGAGAUUCCCCCAGUAGCGGCGAGCGAACGGGGAGCAGCCCAGAGCCUGAAUCAGUGUGUGUGUUAGUGGAAGCGUCUGGAAAGGCGUGCGAUACAGGGUGACAGCCCCGUACACAAAAAUGCACAUGCUGUGAGCUCGAUGAGUAGGGCGGGACACGUGGUAUCCUGUCUGAAUAUGGGGGACCAUCCUCCAAGGCUAAAUACUCCUGACUGACCGAUAGUGAACCAGUACCGUGAGGGAAAGGCGAAAAGAACCCCGGCGAGGGGAGUGAAAAAGAACCUGAAACCGUGUACGUACAAGCAGUGGGAGCACGCUUAGGCGUGUGACUGCGUACCUUUUGUAUAAUGGGUCAGCGACUUAUAUUCUGUAGCAAGGUUAACCGAAUAGGGGAGCCGAAGGGAAACCGAGUCUUAACUGGGCGUUAAGUUGCAGGGUAUAGACCCGAAACCCGGUGAUCUAGCCAUGGGCAGGUUGAAGGUUGGGUAACACUAACUGGAGGACCGAACCGACUAAUGUUGAAAAAUUAGCGGAUGACUUGUGGCUGGGGUGAAAGGCCAAUCAAACCGGGAGAUAGCUGGUUCUCCCCGAAAGCUAUUUAGGUAGCGCCUCGUGAAUUCAUCUCCGGGGGUAGAGCACUGUUUCGGCAAGGGGGUCAUCCCGACUUACCAACCCGAUGCAAACUGCGAAUACCGGAGAAUGUUAUCACGGGAGACACACGGCGGGUGCUAACGUCCGUCGUGAAGAGGGAAACAACCCAGACCGCCAGCUAAGGUCCCAAAGUCAUGGUUAAGUGGGAAACGAUGUGGGAAGGCCCAGACAGCCAGGAUGUUGGCUUAGAAGCAGCCAUCAUUUAAAGAAAGCGUAAUAGCUCACUGGUCGAGUCGGCCUGCGCGGAAGAUGUAACGGGGCUAAACCAUGCACCGAAGCUGCGGCAGCGACGCUGAUGCGUUGUUGGGUAGGGGAGCGUUCUGUAAGCCUGCGAAGGUGUGCUGUGAGGCAUGCUGGAGGUAUCAGAAGUGCGAAUGCUGACAUAAGUAACGAUAAAGCGGGUGAAAAGCCCGCUCGCCGGAAGACCAAGGGUUCCUGUCCAACGUUAAUCGGGGCAGGGUGAGUCGACCCCUAAGGCGAGGCCGAAAGGCGUAGUCGAUGGGAAACAGGUUAAUAUUCCUGUACUUGGUGUUACUGCGAAGGGGGGACGGAGAAGGCUAUGUUGGCCGGGCGACGGUUGUCCCGGUUUAAGCGUGUAGGCUGGUUUUCCAGGCAAAUCCGGAAAAUCAAGGCUGAGGCGUGAUGACGAGGCACUACGGUGCUGAAGCAACAAAUGCCCUGCUUCCAGGAAAAGCCUCUAAGCAUCAGGUAACAUCAAAUCGUACCCCAAACCGACACAGGUGGUCAGGUAGAGAAUACCAAGGCGCUUGAGAGAACUCGGGUGAAGGAACUAGGCAAAAUGGUGCCGUAACUUCGGGAGAAGGCACGCUGAUAUGUAGGUGAAGCGACUUGCUCGUGGAGCUGAAAUCAGUCGAAGAUACCAGCUGGCUGCAACUGUUUAUUAAAAACACAGCACUGUGCAAACACGAAAGUGGACGUAUACGGUGUGACGCCUGCCCGGUGCCGGAAGGUUAAUUGAUGGGGUCAGCGCAAGCGAAGCUCUUGAUCGAAGCCCCGGUAAACGGCGGCCGUAACUAUAACGGUCCUAAGGUAGCGAAAUUCCUUGUCGGGUAAGUUCCGACCUGCACGAAUGGCGUAAUGAUGGCCAGGCUGUCUCCACCCGAGACUCAGUGAAAUUGAACUCGCUGUGAAGAUGCAGUGUACCCGCGGCAAGACGGAAAGACCCCGUGAACCUUUACUAUAGCUUGACACUGAACAUUGAGCCUUGAUGUGUAGGAUAGGUGGGAGGCUUUGAAGUGUGGACGCCAGUCUGCAUGGAGCCGACCUUGAAAUACCACCCUUUAAUGUUUGAUGUUCUAACGUGGACCCGUGAUCCGGGUUGCGGACAGUGUCUGGUGGGUAGUUUGACUGGGGCGGUCUCCUCCUAAAGAGUAACGGAGGAGCACGAAGGUUGGCUAAUCCUGGUCGGACAUCAGGAGGUUAGUGCAAUGGCAUAAGCCAGCUUGACUGCGAGCGUGACGGCGCGAGCAGGUGCGAAAGCAGGUCAUAGUGAUCCGGUGGUUCUGAAUGGAAGGGCCAUCGCUCAACGGAUAAAAGGUACUCCGGGGAUAACAGGCUGAUACCGCCCAAGAGUUCAUAUCGACGGCGGUGUUUGGCACCUCGAUGUCGGCUCAUCACAUCCUGGGGCUGAAGUAGGUCCCAAGGGUAUGGCUGUUCGCCAUUUAAAGUGGUACGCGAGCUGGGUUUAGAACGUCGUGAGACAGUUCGGUCCCUAUCUGCCGUGGGCGCUGGAGAACUGAGGGGGCUGCUCCUAGUACGAGAGGACCGGAGUGGACGCAUCACUGGUGUUCGGGUUGUCAUGCCAAUGGCACUGCCCGGUAGCUAAAUGCGGAAGAGAUAAGUGCUGAAAGCAUCUAAGCACGAAACUUGCCCCGAGAUGAGUUCUCCCUGACUCCUUGAGAGUCCUGAAGGAACGUUGAAGACGACGACGUUGAUAGGCCGGGUGUGUAAGCGCAGCGAUGCGUUGAGCUAACCGGUACUAAUGAACCGUGAGGCUUAACCUU